Molecule: ribosomal RNA, 578 nt
Filed under: Limosilactobacillus reuteri
Lineage: Bacteria; Bacillati; Bacillota; Bacilli; Lactobacillales; Lactobacillaceae
Description: bacterial LSU rRNA
Rfam family: Bacterial large subunit ribosomal RNA
Source: RNAcentral
UUAGGUUAAGUUAUGAAGGGCGCAUGGUGAAUGCCUUGGUACUAGGAGCCGAUGAAGGACGGGACUAACACCGAUAUGCUUCGGGGAGCGGUAAGUACGCUUUGAUCCGGAGAUUUCCGAAUGGGGCAACCCAAUCAGCUUAGUCGCUGAUUACUUGACUAGUGAAUACAUAGCUAGCAAGAGGUAGACGCAGUGAACUGAAACAUCUUAGUAGCUGCAGGAAGAGAAAGAAAUAUCGAUUCCCUGAGUAGCGGCGAGCGAAAAGGGAAGAGCCCAAACCAACGAGCUUGCUUGUUGGGGUUGUAGGACUGAACAUUAGAGUUACCAAAGUGCGACGUAGUCGCAACAGUUGGGAAGCUGUGCCAUAGAGGGUGAAAGCCCCGUAGACGAAACGUCACACUCUCUGUUCAGGAUCCUGAGUACGGCGGGACACGUGAAACCCCGUCGGAACCCGCGAGGACCAUCUCGCAAGGCUAAAUACUCCCUAGUGACCGAUAGUGAACCAGUACCGUGAGGGAAAGGUGAAAAGCACCCCGGAAGGGGAGUGAAAUAGUUCCUGAAACCAUGUGCCUACAAGC